GCAUAUCAAUAAGCGGAGGAAAAGAAACCAACAGGGAUUGCCCCAGUAACGGCGAGUGAAGCGGCAACAGCUCAAAUUGAAAUCUGGCCCCCCGGCCCGAGUUGUAAUUUGGAGAGGAUGCUUCUGGCGCGGCGCCGUCCGAGUUCCUUGGAACAGGACGCCACAGAGGGUGAGAGCCCCGUACGGACGGACGCCUAGCCUCUACGAAGCUCCUUCGACGAGUCGAGUAGUUUGGGAAUGCUGCUCAAAAUGGGAGGUAAAUUUCUUCUAAAGCUAAAUACCGGCCAGAGACCGAUAGCGCACAAGUAGAGUGAUCGAAAGAUGAAAAGCACUUUGAAAAGAGGGUUAAAAAGUACGUGAAAUUGUUGAAAGGGAAGCGCCUGUGACCAGACUUGCGCCUCGCGGACCACCCGGCGUUCUCGCCGGUGCACUCUGCGUGGCGCAGGCCAGCAUCGGUUCUCCCAGGGGGACAAAGGCCGCGGGAACGUAGCUCCCUUUGGGAGUGUUAUAGCCCGCGGCGGCAUGCCCCUGGGGGGACCGAGGACCGCGCUUCGGCAAGGAUGCUGGCGUAAUGGUCACCAGCGACCCGUCUUGAAACACGGACCAAGGAGUCAAGCAUUGGGGCGAGUGUAUGGGUGCCAAACCCGCACGCGAAAUGAAAGUAAACGCAGGUGAGAGCUUCGGCGCAUCAUCGACCGAUCCUGAUGUCUUCGGAUGGAUUUGAGUAAGAGCCUUACCGCUUGGACCCGAAAGAUGGUGAACUAUGCCUGAAUAGGGUGAAGCCAGAGGAAACUCUGGUGGAGGCUCGCAGCGGUUCUGACGUGCAAAUCGAUCGUCAAAUUUGGGCGUGGGGGCGAAAGACUAAUCGAACCAUCUAGAAGCUGGUUACGCC
This 892-nucleotide ribosomal RNA is filed under the name Sporothrix globosa. Its description in RNAcentral is "LSU rRNA". It matches the Rfam family "Eukaryotic large subunit ribosomal RNA", at positions 38 to 961 of the family's 3401-position model. The record is from RNAcentral. Lineage: Eukaryota; Fungi; Ascomycota; Sordariomycetes; Ophiostomatales; Ophiostomataceae.